GGUCAUUUUAUACAGGAGAUACAGGUCAUAUUAUACAGGAGAUACAGGUCAUAUUAUACAGGAGAUACAGGUCAUAUAAUAUAGGAGAUACAGGUCAUAGUAUACAGGAG
Non-coding RNA from Oncorhynchus mykiss (rainbow trout), 110 nucleotides. NCBI's taxonomy places the organism in Eukaryota, Metazoa, Chordata, Actinopteri, Salmoniformes, Salmonidae. The record is from RefSeq and is a predicted model, not a curated record.